Molecule: non-coding RNA, 234 nt
Organism: Pelobates cultripes (western spadefoot toad)
Lineage: Eukaryota; Metazoa; Chordata; Amphibia; Anura; Pelobatidae
Source: the annotation of a GenBank genome assembly
GAAAAAAGUAAAAAAGAAAUGGAAAAAGUAAACAAAGAUAUUUACAAUUCCAACACCAGGUAUAGAACGAUAAGGAUUUCAGCCAACCAUAGAGAAACAUAACCGAGAAAGACAAAUGUUAUAUACAAUUGUAGCUAAUUUUACAAUCCUUAUGAACUAAGGGUUGACCAUGUAUUCUCACAUGAAUUGCACAAGGACAAUCUUGAAAUAUAUUGCAUCUCAAUAACAGUGAUA